This 77-nucleotide transfer RNA is filed under the name Candidatus Woesearchaeota archaeon. RNAcentral describes it as "tRNA-Lys". It matches the Rfam family "tRNA". From Rfam's summary of the family: Transfer RNA (tRNA) molecules are approximately 80 nucleotides in length. Their secondary structure includes four short double-helical elements and three loops (D, anti-codon, and T loops). Further hydrogen bonds mediate the characteristic L-shaped molecular structure. tRNAs have two regions of fundamental functional importance: the anti-codon, which is responsible for specific mRNA codon recognition, and the 3' end, to which the tRNAs corresponding amino acid is attached (by aminoacyl-tRNA synthetases). tRNAs cope with the degeneracy of the genetic code in two manners: having more than one tRNA (with a specific anti-codon) for a particular amino acid; and 'wobble' base-pairing, i.e. permitting non-standard base-pairing at the 3rd anti-codon position. The record is from RNAcentral. Lineage: Archaea; Nanobdellati; Candidatus Woesearchaeota.
GGGCCGGUAGCUCAGCCUGGUAGAGCACUGCACUUUUAAUGCAGUGGUCGCGAGUUCGAAUCUCGUCCGGCCCACCA